UACGUAGGGGGCUAGCGUUGUCCGGAAUCAUUGGGCGUAAAGCGCGUGUAGGCGGUCCGGUAAGUCCGCUGUGAAAGUCGGGGGCUCAACCCUCGGAUGCCGGUGGAUACUGUCGGGCUUGAGUACGGAAGAGGCGAGUGGAAUUCCUGGUGUAGCGGUGAAAUGCGUAGAGAUCCGGAGGAACACCGACGGCGUAGGCAGCGCCCUGGACGACACCGUGACGCUGAGGCA
RNAcentral lists this ribosomal RNA (231 nucleotides) under uncultured bacterium. Its description in RNAcentral is "partial 16S ribosomal RNA". It matches the Rfam family "Bacterial small subunit ribosomal RNA", at positions 524 to 753 of the family's 1533-position model. The record is from RNAcentral.